RNAcentral lists this small nucleolar RNA (109 nucleotides) under Sorghum bicolor (sorghum). RNAcentral describes it as "Plant small nucleolar RNA R71". It matches the Rfam family "Plant small nucleolar RNA R71". Rfam says of the family: R71 is a member of the C/D box family of snoRNAs containing the C (UGAUGA) and D (CUGA) box motifs. Multiple nearly identical copies of this snoRNA have been identified in Arabidopsis, and it is thought to function as a 2'-O-ribose methylation guide for 18S ribosomal RNA. The record is from Rfam by way of RNAcentral. Lineage: Eukaryota; Viridiplantae; Streptophyta; Magnoliopsida; Poales; Poaceae.
AUGCCAUGGUGUGGACAAGCAACGACAUACUAUUGCAUUCGUUCCUAGGCUUUGGGAAUUGAUUCAUCAAAUAGUUGUUAGAAACUAGAGAUUUUAUUGCGAAGAGCAU